This 2777-nucleotide long non-coding RNA is filed under the name Medicago truncatula (barrel medic). The record is from RNAcentral. Lineage: Eukaryota; Viridiplantae; Streptophyta; Magnoliopsida; Fabales; Fabaceae.
AGGUGCGAUCAUACCAGCAUUAAUGCUUCGGAUCCCAUCAGAACUCUGCAGUUAAUCGUGCUCGGUCGAGAGUAGUACUAGGACGGGUGACCUCCUAGGAAGUCCUUGUGUUGCACCUCUUUUUGCCAAAAUUUUACGUCGUUUUUGAAAAAUAAACUUCGAUUGUAUUUCAUUUUUUCCGUUAAUUUACGCAACCUAAAACUCUAUUCGUUAAUUAGCGUAGUUUGACGUCUUUUUUGAAAAAUAAACUUAGAAAUGCAUAUAUACAAUUACAACGCUUUACUCUCAGGUGCGAUCAUACCAGCACUAAUGCACCGGAUCCCAUCAGAACUCCGCAGUUAAGCGUGCUUGGGCGAGAGUAGUACUAGGAUGGGUGACCUCCUGGGAAGUCCUUGUGUUGCACCUCUUUUUGCCAAAAUUUCUUGUUCUUUUGUUAAUUAGCGUAAUUUUACGUCGUUUUUGAAAAAUAAACUUCGAUUGUAUUUCAUUUUUUUCCGUUAAUUUACGCAACCUAAAACUCUAUUCGUUAAUUAGCGUAGUUUGACGGAUUUUUGGAAAAAUAAACUUAGAAAUGCAUAUAUACAAUUACAACGCUUUACUCUCAGGUGCGAUCAUACCAGCACUAAUGCACCGGACCCAUUAGAACUCCGCAGUUAAGCGUGCUUGGGCAGAGUAGUACUAGGAUCGGUGACCUCCUGGAAGUCCUUGUGUUGCACCUCUUUUUGCCAAAAUUUUACGUCGCUUUUGAAAAAUAAACUUCGAUUGUAUUUCAUUUUUUCCGUUAAUUUACGCAACCUAAAACUCUAUUCGUUAAUUAGCGUAGUUUGACGUCUUUUUUGAAAAAUAAACUUAGAAAUGCAUAUAUACAAUUACAACGCUUUACUCUCAGGUGCGAUCAUACCAGCACUAAUGCACCGGAUCCCAUCAGAACUCCGAAGUUAUGCGUGCUUGGUCGAGAGUAGUACUAGGAUGGGUGACCUACUAGGAAGUCCUUGCGUUGCACCUCUUUUUGCCAAAAUUUCUUGUUCUUUUUGUUAAUUAGCGUAAUUUUACGUCGUUUUUGAAAAAUAAAUUCGAUUGUAUUUCAUUUUUUUCCGUUAAUUUACACAACCUAAAACUCUAUUCGUUAAUUAGCGUAGUUUGACGUAUUUUUUGAAAAACAAACUUAGAAAUGCAUAUAUACAAUUACAACGCUUUACUCUCAGGUGCGAUCAUACCAGCACUAAUGCACCGGAUCCCAUCAGAACUCUGCAGUAAAGCGUGCUUGGGCGAGAGUAGUACUAGGAUGGGUGACCUCCUGGGAAGUCUUGUGUUGCACCUCUUUUUGCCAAAAUUUUACGUCGUUUUUGAAAAAUAAACUUCGAUUGUUUUCAUUUUUUCCGUUAAUUUACGCAACCUAAAACUCUAUUCGUUAAUUAGCGUAGUUUGACGUCUUUUUUGAAAAAUAAACUUAGAAAUGCAUAUAUACAAUUACAACGCUUUACUCUCAGGUGCGAUCAUACCAGCACUAAUGCACCGGAUCCCAUCAGAACUCCGAAGUUAUGCGUGCUUGGUCGAGAGUAGUACUAGGAUGGGUGACCUCCUGGGAAGUCCUUGUGUUGCACCUCUUUUUGCCAAAAGUUUACGUCGUAUUUGAAAAAAAACUUCGAUUGUAUUUCAUUUUUUCCGUUAAUUUACGCAACCUAAAACUCUAUUCGUUAAUUAGCGUAGUUUGACGUCUUUUUUGAAAAAUAAACUUAGAAAUGCAUAUAUACAAUUACAACGCUUUACUCUCAGGUGCGAUCAUACCAGCACUAAUGCUUCGGAUCCCAUCAGAACUCCGCAGUUAAGCGUGCUUGGUCGAGAGUAGUACUAGGAUGGGUGACCUCCUGGAAGUCCUUGUGUUGCACCUCUUUUUGCCAAAAUUUUACGUCGCUUUUGAAAAAUAAACUUCGAUUGUAUUUCAUUUUUUCCGUUAAUUUACGCAACCUAAAACUCUAUUCGUUAAUUAGCGUAGUUUGACGUCUUUUUUGAAAAAUAAACUUAGAAAUGCAUAUAUACAAUUACAACGCUUUACUCUCAGGUGCGAUCAUCCAGCACUAAUGCACCGGAUCCCAUCAAACUCCGCAGUUAAGCGUGCUUGGGCGAGAGUAGUACUAGGAUGGGUGACCUACUAGGAAGUCCUUGCGUUGCACCUCUUUUUGCCAAAAUUUCUUGUUCUUUUUGUUAAUUAGCGUAAUUUUACGUCGUUUUUGAAAAAUAAACUUCGAUUGUAUUUCAUUUUUUCCGUUAAUUUACGCAACCUAAACUCUAUUCGUUAAUUAGCGUAGUUUGACGUUUUUUUGAAAAAUAAACUUAGAAAUGCAUAUAUACAAUUACAACGCUUUACUCUCAGGUGCGAUCAUACCAGCACUAAUGCACCGGAUCCCAUCAGAACUCCGCAGUUAAGCGUGCUUGGGCGAGAGUAGUACUAGGAUGGGUGACCUCCUGGGAAGUCCUUGUGUUGCACCUCUUUUUGCCAAAAUUUUACGUCGUUUUUGAAAAAUAAACUUCAAUUGUAUUUCAUUUUUUCCGUUAAUUUACGCAACCUAAAACUCUAUUCGUUAAUUAGCGUAGUUUGACGUCUUUUUUGAAAAAUAAACUUAGAAAUGCAUAUAUACAAUUACAACGCUUUACUCUCAGUGCGAUCAUACCAGCACUAAUGCACCGGAUCCCAUCAGAACUCCGCAGUUAAGCGUGCUUGGGCGAGAGUAGUACUAGGAUGGGUGACCUACUAGGAAGUCCUUGCGUUGCACCUA